UGAGGAAUAUUGGUCAAUGGGCGAGAGCCUGAACCAGCCAAGCCGCGUGAGGGAAGAAGGCGCUCAGCGUCGUAAACCUCUUUAGCCGGGGGACAAAACCUCCUCGCGAAGGAGGCUUGAGAGUACCCGGAGAAUAAGCAUCGGCUAACUCCGUGCCAGCAGCCGCGGUAAUACGGAGGAUGCGAGCGUUAUCCGGAUUUAUUGGGUUUAAAGGGUGCGCAGGCGGACAUUCAAGUCUGCGGUCAAAUUCCGGGGCUCAACCCCGGCCAGCCGUGGAAACUGAAUGACUUGAGUGGGCGAGAGGUAUGCGGAAUGCGCGGUGUAGCGGUGAAAUGCUUAGAGAUCGCGCAGAACUCCGAUUGCGAAGGCAGCAUACCGGCGCCUUACUGACGCUCAGGCACGAAAGCGUGGGGAUCGAACAGG
RNAcentral lists this ribosomal RNA (423 nucleotides) under uncultured bacterium. Its description in RNAcentral is "bacterial SSU rRNA". It matches the Rfam family "Bacterial small subunit ribosomal RNA", at positions 355 to 776 of the family's 1533-position model. The record is from RNAcentral.